CGAAGUCGUCGAGUCGAGGAGAAAGGACCAUUCGCUGAGAUGUCGCAGCAAGGCACGUUGUCGUCCCAAGAGACACCUCAGCGCAAGGCGGCCCCGCGCUUCAUCGAGGACGAAAAAAGUGUGCUGAUCGAUCUCGUGAGGCAAGUUAAGCACAUUAUCGAGUGUAAAAAACUGAUGUUGCGUCGGUGGCGAAAAAAAAUGAAACUUGGAAAGAAAUAGCCACGCGUUACAACGCCAACCACGGGAUUACCAGGCGCGACCACCUGCAGCUCAAGAAAUGCUGGAACAACCUCAAGCAGAAAUGGAAAGAGGAAGCUGCAAGAGAAAAGCGAGAGCGCCACAAAACUGGAGGAGGACCGGCACCUUCCGCCAUGGCCCCCAUCUACCAGUUGGUGGGGUCAAUUGCUGGCCACAUGGCAACAAGGGUGGAGAAUGCCUUUGAUUCAGAUGGCACUGCAUACCUGCCACCCGUCGCAAGUCUGCCUGUCGUAAGGCUACUGCAGCCAAUGAUGGAUGGCCGAAGUGAAGCGGACAUUGAUUGCCAAGAUGAACAGCGGGAUGCUGGCAGCCUUCCAGAUCCUUUCCAGCCACCAACAGGCACAGGUGCCGAUGAGGAGACUAGACCGCCUUCCGUAGCGCAGCCAGAGGCUGACGAAAACACCGCUGCGCCAAGCUGCACAAACAGCCCCCAAGUCACCACAGGUUCUGCAGGCUCUACUUCUGCGGCAACUGUCGCUGCUGAACCAUACAGGAAUCCAAGGGGUCGGAUGUCCGUCUUGGAGAAGACGCUGGCCGCCGAAAAUGAAGUCCGUGCGGAGCUACUUCGAGAGGAGCACCGAAUUCGCGUCCGCAUACUGCAGGAGGACCACGGCGACGAGUUCCUGGAACGGGCAAACAAGCGAAAAUUUGAAAAUGAAAUGCGAGAGCUCGAGCUGCUAAAACAAAAGAAUGAGCUUGAAAAACAAAAGCUUCAGAUUGAAGUGCUAGAAAUUGAAAAGGAGCUAAAAAAAGAACAGCUCCGCAGGCUGCAGUGUAAUGCACCCCCUCUUUAA
This is an RNA transcript of Rhipicephalus sanguineus (brown dog tick), 1052 nucleotides long. It is a transcript of the gene named myb/SANT-like DNA-binding domain-containing protein 3, with no coding region annotated. NCBI's taxonomy places the organism in Eukaryota, Metazoa, Arthropoda, Arachnida, Ixodida, Ixodidae. The record is from RefSeq and is a predicted model, not a curated record. The transcript has 3 exons.